Molecule: ribosomal RNA, 705 nt
Filed under: Nocardia sp. Sp080513KE-12
Lineage: Bacteria; Bacillati; Actinomycetota; Actinomycetes; Mycobacteriales; Nocardiaceae
Description: bacterial SSU rRNA
Rfam family: Bacterial small subunit ribosomal RNA
Source: RNAcentral
GUGCUUAACACAUGCAAGUCGAGCGGUAAGGCCCUUCGGGGUACACGAGCGGCGAACGGGUGAGUAACACGUGGGUGAUCUGCCUCGUACUCUGGGAUAAGCCUGGGAAACUGGGUCUAAUACCGGAUAUGACCACGAAUCGCAUGGUUUGUGGUGGAAAGAUUUAUCGGUGCGAGAUGGGCCCGCGGCCUAUCAGCUUGUUGGUGGGGUAAUGGCCUACCAAGGCGACGACGGGUAGCCGACCUGAGAGGGUGACCGGCCACACUGGGACUGAGACACGGCCCAGACUCCUACGGGAGGCAGCAGUGGGGAAUAUUGCACAAUGGGCGAAAGCCUGAUGCAGCGACGCCGCGUGAGGGAUGACGGCCUUCGGGUUGUAAACCUCUUUCGACAGGGACGAAGCGAAAGUGACGGUACCUGUAGAAGAAGCACCGGCCAACUACGUGCCAGCAGCCGCGGUAAUACGUAGGGUGCGAGCGUUGUCCGGAAUUACUGGGCGUAAAGAGCUUGUAGGCGGUUCGUCGCGUCGAUUGUGAAAACUUGCAGCUCAACUGCAAGCUUGCAGUCGAUACGGGCGGACUAGAGUACUGCAGGGGAGACUGGAAUUCCUGGUGUAGCGGUGAAAUGCGCAGAUAUCAGGAGGAACACCGGUGGCGAAGGCGGGUCUCUGGGCAGUAACUGACGCUGAGAAGCGAAAGCGUGGGU